GAUAAACGCUGGCGGCGUGCAUGAGACAUGCAAGUCGAACGAAGGAUCGGGCUUGCUCGAUCCUUAGUGGCGGACGGCUGAGUAACGCGUAGGUGACCUGCCCCGAAGUGGGGAAUAACUGCCCGAAAGGGUGGCUAAUACCGCAUGUGGUCGCACGUUCAUUCGUGCGAGUAAAGCCGCAAGGCGCUUCGGGAGGGGCCUGCGUCCGAUUAGCUCGUUGGUGGGGUAAUGGCUUACCAAGGCGACGAUCGGUAGGUGGUCUGAGAGGACGAUCACCCAGACUGGGACUGAGACACGGCCCAGACUCCUACGGGAGGCUG
This 320-nucleotide ribosomal RNA is filed under the name uncultured Chloroflexota bacterium. RNAcentral describes it as "bacterial SSU rRNA". It matches the Rfam family "Bacterial small subunit ribosomal RNA", at positions 28 to 351 of the family's 1533-position model. Lineage: Bacteria; Bacillati; Chloroflexota. The record is from RNAcentral.